Molecule: long non-coding RNA, 3895 nt
Filed under: Homo sapiens (human)
Lineage: Eukaryota; Metazoa; Chordata; Mammalia; Primates; Hominidae
Description: non-protein coding lnc-CNPY1-10:14
Source: RNAcentral
GGGUCUCGAUCGCGCGGGCCUCCCUGGAGGGGCGCGGGCUCUGGCGGCGGGGAGGCCCCUGCUCAGCGCAAUGGCGGGCUUGCAUCCUUGGGUGAUUUUUUCGGGCCCCUUGUGGCCUUUGCUCACGCCUAGAGAGCAAACCACCCGCACCACCCAGGAGCAGAUAAAAUCGAGACCACAGCCUCCAAGGGAGCGCGCCUCCAUCCUGUUUGCCCCUCGGGUCGCCGUCUGAGGGCGGGCCCGUGCCCGCUCAGAGCCUACAUCCGAGUCGUAUAAAGCGCUGACAGCAGAGAAAGCUGCGGCUUUGCUCCGUGCAGAUGAGCAGGGGCUGAGGGAGGACGCUGUGCUCUCAGUAGCCGCGCUUGGCCCGGGGACCCUGCAGGCUUAGAAACGUGAGUCACGCCUGCAGCGUGGCGAGGAAACGCCGUUGAUGUGGCAUCCUCAGCCUGGGGUUGUGGCUUUAAGCCAGAAGGUCAAAAAAAGAAGUCUUCCUGAGCUGAGACUGCCCUGAGUCGCUUUAGGGGCGAAAUUCCGAGCAUCCGGUUGCAUUUCCUGAGGAUGACACGCGUGGUGGGUGUGGACGGCCUACAGGGGUCCAUCCUCAGCGGCCCCUCUGCAGGGCAGUCUCGCUCUCACUCUCCCAGCUGACUCCUCUCAAGCCUGUUAACCAUUGUACACGUUCCCAAGGACUCCAAGCAGGUUGGACUUCAGGGAACAUUGCAGUUUGGGUCUUGGCCAUUGUUUACACUCCACCUUGCAUAAGUGCUUGAGGAUCACACAACCAGAUACGUAGAUCAUCCGUAGAUCAUCGCAGUCACAUCGAAGAUUUGUUUAUAAUAGGAAAAAAAAAAGCUACCCACUGUCAUGCGCUGGGAAACUAGUGAGCUGAAGGAUGACCCAUCUGUAAAUGGGGUGCUCCCUAAUGGACAGGGCACCUUUCAGAAGCCUGUGCUGUGUCUCCUCGACCCCACUGUGAGCUCCCCGUCCCGCACGCUGAUCUAAAUCAAGCUGCUAACCUCAUGGAGAGGCGUCCGCACGGGAGCCCCGGCCCUGAGAUGCGGGGCAGUCACCCAUUCAAUUAGGAAACACCAGCAAGUGCCAGAAGCUUCUCAUUAGCAGGGAGUGUGGGUGUGGCAGCAACCCAGCAUCUACCAUGCCGACCAUGUGCCAUGCCAUGCACCGCGUGUCGUAACAGGACAACAGAGCAAGAGACCCAGCAGACAGGGGUCCCCAGCAACCUCAUGAAGCGCCAUCCACUCACCUCCAGACAGUCUGGGGAGAGAGACUGAAACUUCUGUCUAAGCCACUUCAUCUUUGAUCUCCUUGUUUUUGUGGUUCAGGUUGUAUCUUAAUAAAUAAAACGUGUUUGAGUUCAUGUUUACAUCCAACCAUUAAAAAAGUAUAUUUUGCCAUGAGAUAAACAAUGAGACCCUGCACGAGAUGAAAUAUUUCCAUGGUCACUCGUCAUCUCCUUACAGAGAAUUACUAAGAUUUUAUUAAAACAGUGUAGAUUAUGAGAGUAUGGUGACUCUAAAGUGAAGUUUACAUUCAGAUGACCCCCAGGCCCGCGUAUGGAGCUCCGGUUCUGUAGCUGAAGAUGGGACAGAGGUGCAGGGAGAGCUGCAGUCGCGUUCUCGGAGGCAUGGCCCCGUGUUGAUCGGACACGUCAUGUUCAGUCAGUGCCAUGCAGGUGUGCAGCGGACGGUCUGGCUGAGGCCGGGGGUGCCACGGUCCCCCCGUCUGCUGAGUAGUAGCAAAGCUGAAUAUUUUCCUGGAAACAUUUUGUGCGCCCCUGGGGUGUGCUGCUGGGGACAAUGGGAAGUCUUUGGAACUCAGGAGCAGCGCACGCUUGGUAUUUGUGCUGGAAGAUGACCAGCCACAGACUGGAGAUCAGGAUGGCCCGAGACCAGGGCCACUGCUGACCCUGGGCAGGGAGGACACAGUGUGGCAGAGGCCUGCAUUGGUGGGAUGGGAGGAGGCCUUGCUGGAGAGCUCAGAGGUGGAAUAUGGUGGUCUCAUGUGGCUUCUCUUACCACAGACCCCAAGACAAAGGUGCCCACUGGUGGGAGGCUAUGACCAUUGUGCUGAGUCGCACGACCUGGAGCAUCUCUGAGAGAGCAGAACUCACCGUCCCCACUGCAUAGCUCUUCAGGCCCAGGGCUUUCGAGGAAGAAACAGGUGAUCAUCUUCCACCUGGCAGCUCCCAGGAGACGGGUGGGGUCAGUGGACCCUGUUCGCAGAACUAAAGGCGGGAAGACCGUGGCUUCCAUUCACCUCCUCAGAAGUGAGCCAAGGGCCCUGGGCUGGCGACAAGGACUCUAAGGAGCUUGCGGGACCGUGCGGUGUUCGUGACGACAAGGACUCUAAGAAGCUUGCAGGACCGUGCGGUGUUCGUGACGACAAGGACUCUAAGAAGCUUGCAGGACUGUGCGGUGUUCGUGACGACAAGGACUCUAAGAAGCUUGCAGGACUGUGCGGUGUUCGUGACUUCCCCUUGCCUGUUGUUUUUAAAAUCUUUUGUUAGUUUCUCUGUAGUUAUUGGCAGAAAAAUCUUUAUUCGUGCCCCUGUUCAAGAUUAGCAAGAAAGAGGAAAUGUGGAAAAGCCACAUCCUGUUUUGCAGCCAGGCUUGUGUGUGGUGGAGGGACAGGGGACAGGACCCUACGGGAUGGGAUGAAGAGGGAUAAAGACGGCCUGGGAUGGAGACGGUGGGAAGGCGCCUGUGAUUCCUUAGAGCAGCACAGGCGGUGCAGAGGCUCCAGCUGGGGUCUGGAGGAUGAGGCUGCCAUCAAGCUCCACCAUGGGCCCUGGGGAGGGGUAGGCAGGGCAGGGGGACAGCCAGAGGAUGGGGAAGAGGAAUGGGUGUACCAUAGACCUACGGUGACAUGGAACAGGCACUAGUAGGAAGGCAGCCGGGUGUUUGGGGGCCCGGGCCACAGCAGAUUUCAACAAUAACAUGGACAAAACAUGGAAAGAGCAAAGAAGACAGUGCAGGUGGCCCACAAGCACAUGGAAAGGCACUUAGCUUCACCAGUCAGCAGGGAAAUGCGAAUCAAAACCACAGUGGGUCGUCACUUCACACCCUUUAGGAUGGGUAUUGUAAAAACAAAAACCAGAAAAGAACACGCACUGAUGAGGGCGUAGAGAGAUUGGAACCCUUGUGUGCUGUUGGUGAGAAUGUGAAAUGAUGCAGCUGCUCCAGAAAACAGCACGGCGGUGUAUUAGUCAGGGUUCUCCAGAGGGACAGAACUAAUGGAAUAGAUACAUAUAUAUGAAGGGGAGUUUAUUAAGUAUUAACUCACACAAUCACAGGGUCCCACAAUAGGCCGUCUGCAGGCUGAGGAGCAAGGAGAGCCAGUCCCAGUUCCAAAACAGAAGAACUUGGAGUCUGAUGUUCAAGAGCAGGAAGCAUCCAGCACGGGAGAAAGAUGUAGUCUGGGAGGCUAAGCCAGUGUCUGUUUUCACAUUUUUCUGCCUGCUUUAUAUUCUAGCCGCCGUGGCAGCUGAUUAGAUGGAGCCCAUCCGGAUUGAGGGUGGAUCUGCCUUUCCCAGCACACUGACUCAAAUGUUCAUCUCCUUUGGCAACACCCUCAGAGACACACCCAGGAUCAAUACUUUGUAUCCCUCAAUCCAAUCCAGUUGACACUCAGUAUCAACCAUCACAGGGGGUUUCUGAAAAGAAAUAAAAGAAAGAAAAGAACUACCAUGUGAGCCAGCAAGUCUACUUCUGGGUGUUUGCACACAGAAACUGAGUGCAGGGCCUUGAAGAGAUACGGGUACCCCCGUGCCCCUCACAGCAACAUUCACAAGAGCCAAGGGUGGAGAUAACCCAAAGUCCACUGAUGGGUGAAUGGGCGAGUGAGCAAGAUGGGGCCUUUCCGUACCAUAGAAUAUCAC